Molecule: ribosomal RNA, 258 nt
Filed under: uncultured bacterium
Lineage: Bacteria
Description: partial small subunit ribosomal RNA
Rfam family: Bacterial small subunit ribosomal RNA
Source: RNAcentral
AGAACGAACGCUGGCGGCAGGCUUAACACAUGCAAGUCGAACGGUAAGGCCCCUUCGGGGGUACACGAGUGGCGAACGGGUGAGUAACACGUGAGCAACCUGCCCUUGACUCUGGAAUAACAGCUGGAAACAGCUGCUAAUACCGGAUACGACCUCCUGCGACAUCGCACAGAGGUGGAAAGCUCCGGCGGUCAAGGAUGGGCUCGCGGCCUAUCAGCUAGUUGGUGGGGUAACGGCCCACCAAGGCUUCGACGGGUA